UGGGGAAUAUUGGACAAUGGGCGCAAGCCUGAUCCAGCCAUGCCGCGUGAGUGAUGAAGGCCCUAGGGUUGUAAAGCUCUUUCACCGGUGAAGAUAAUGACGGUAACCGGAGAAGAAGCCCCGGCUAACUUCGUGCCAGCAGCCGCGGUAAUACGAAGGGGGCUAGCGUUGUUCGGAUUUACUGGGCGUAAAGCGCACGUAGGCGGACUUUUAAGUCAGGGGUGAAAUCCCGGGGCUCAACCCCGGAACUGCCUUUGAUACUGGAAGUCUUGAGUAUGGUAGAGGUGAGUGGAAUUCCGAGUGUAGAGGUGAAAUUCGUAGAUAUUCGGAGGAACACCAGUGGCGAAGGCGGCUCACUGGACCAUAACUGACGCUGAGGUGCGAAAGCGUGGGGAGCAAACAGG
This 404-nucleotide ribosomal RNA is filed under the name Brucella melitensis. Its description in RNAcentral is "partial 16S ribosomal RNA". It matches the Rfam family "Bacterial small subunit ribosomal RNA", at positions 355 to 776 of the family's 1533-position model. The record is from RNAcentral. Lineage: Bacteria; Pseudomonadati; Pseudomonadota; Alphaproteobacteria; Hyphomicrobiales; Brucellaceae. RNAcentral also lists the same sequence under 1 other name.